UACAGAGGGGGCAAGCGUUGUUCGGAAUUACUGGGCGUAAAGGGCGCGUAGGCGGCCUGCUAAGUCGAACGUGAAAUCCCUGGGCUCAACCCAGGAACUGCGUCCGAUACUGGUUGGCUUGAAUCCGGGAGAGGGAUGCAGAAUUCCAGGUGUAGCGGUGAAAUGCGUAGAUAUCUGGAGGAAUACCGGUGGCGAAGGCGGCAUCCUGGACCGGCAUUGACGCUGAGGAGCGAAAGCUAGGGGAGCAAACGGG
This 253-nucleotide ribosomal RNA is filed under the name uncultured bacterium. Its description in RNAcentral is "partial 16S ribosomal RNA". It matches the Rfam family "Bacterial small subunit ribosomal RNA", at positions 524 to 776 of the family's 1533-position model. The record is from RNAcentral.